Molecule: long non-coding RNA, 774 nt
Filed under: Rhinopithecus bieti (black snub-nosed monkey)
Lineage: Eukaryota; Metazoa; Chordata; Mammalia; Primates; Cercopithecidae
Description: lncRNA (ENSRBIG00000045333.1)
Source: RNAcentral
CCCUCCUCACAAUGCUUCCCUGUUCAGUGCAAGCAAACGAGGACUAUGAGGACUAUGAGUACGAUGAGCUUCCAGCCAGGGACGACCCAGGUGCCCCUCUGCAGCCCGUGACACCCCUGCAGCUGUUUGAGGGUCGGAGGAACCGCCGCAGGAGGGAGGCGCCCAAGGUGGUGGAGGAGCAGGAGUCCAGGGUCCACUACACCGUGUGCAUCUGGCGGAACGGCAAGGUGGGGCUCUCUGGCAUGGCCAUCGCAGACAUCACCCUCCUGAGUGGAUUCCACGCCCUGCGUGCUGACCUAGAGAAGCUGACCUCCCUCUCUGACCGUUAUGUGAGUCACUUUGAGACCGAGGGGCCCCACGUCCUGCUGUAUUUUGACUCGGUGAGUGGGGAGAGGUGACGUAGGAAUGGACUCGAUGGCACUGGGUGUACUGAGUGUGUGUUAGGAGGUUUCUCAGGAGACAGCUCUGUCAGCGGCCGGUGCUCUUGGGGACUUGAUGUCAUCAGCGAGAAGGAGGAGGAUGUGAGCCUGUGAGACACAGCAGAGUAAGGGGCAGACGUGCAGGUGGCAGGGGCCAGUGCCAGUCAGCGGGGACCCUCGGGGAUUGAGAGGGAUGCUUCGUAAAGCCGGUUUUAUUCAGCUUGAGGGGCUGCCUUUGUUUUUUUGUUGAACUUCCUUUUUUUUUUAUAUUAAAGUAUAUUUUCUUUUACAAAGUGACAGUGGCCAUAGAUGACAGCUGUAUUUGUCUUUUCACGGCCUUAUUUGGCUAAAAUAG